GACGGAGGGUGCAGGCGUUGUCCGGAUUCAUUGGGCGUAAAGAGCUCGUAGGCGGCUCAGUAAGUCGGGUGUGAAACCUCCAGGCUCAACCUGGAGACGCCACUCGGUACUGCUGUGGCUAGAGUCCAGUAGGGGAGCGUGGAAUUCCUGGUGUAGCGGUGAAAUGCGCAGAUAUCAGGAGGAACACCAGCGGCGAAGGCGGCGCUCUGGGCUGGAACUGACGCUGAGGAGCGAAAGCGUGGGGAGCGAACAGG
RNAcentral lists this unclassified non-coding RNA (254 nucleotides) under uncultured Acidimicrobiia bacterium. Its description in RNAcentral is "contains 16S-23S intergenic spacer region". It matches the Rfam family "Bacterial small subunit ribosomal RNA", at positions 524 to 776 of the family's 1533-position model. The record is from RNAcentral. Lineage: Bacteria; Bacillati; Actinomycetota; Acidimicrobiia.